This 377-nucleotide ribosomal RNA is filed under the name Enchytraeus coronatus. Its description in RNAcentral is "partial 12S ribosomal RNA". The record is from RNAcentral. Lineage: Eukaryota; Metazoa; Annelida; Clitellata; Enchytraeida; Enchytraeidae.
AAGGCUUAUAAAUAUCCCGAUAAAUACUAUCAACAGAUAAAAAUUCAAAGGAUUUGGCGGUGUCUUAAAUACUCAGGGGAACCUGUUACUUAAUUCGAUAAUCCACGUUAUUCAAACCCUUUUUUGAAACUUCAGCCUGUGUACUGCUGUCGUCAGUAAACCUCUAAGAGUUAGUUUACAAUAAUAAUUACAUAUUAUUUACGUCAAGUCAAAGUGCAGCUUAUAAAAGAUGGUGUUCAAUGGGUUACAAACUUUAAUAAAGAAUACGAAGAUCUUAAUUAAACCGAGAUUAAAGGUGGACUUGAUAGUAAUAUUUACAUAAUACUAAUAUGAACAAUUAAUCUAAGACAUGCACACAUCGCCCGUCGCUCUCACCC